GGAAGGGUGUCGCUCCCGGUGGAGCGGCCAGACUUCAAAUCUGGAAGGGGCCGCCAGCGGUCCCCGGUGGGUUCGACUCCCAUACCUUUCCG
This 92-nucleotide transfer RNA is filed under the name Crenobacter oryzisoli. Its description in RNAcentral is "tRNA-Sec". It matches the Rfam family "Selenocysteine transfer RNA". The record is from RNAcentral. Lineage: Bacteria; Pseudomonadati; Pseudomonadota; Betaproteobacteria; Neisseriales; Neisseriaceae.